RNAcentral lists this ribosomal RNA (440 nucleotides) under uncultured bacterium. RNAcentral describes it as "bacterial SSU rRNA". It matches the Rfam family "Bacterial small subunit ribosomal RNA", at positions 338 to 795 of the family's 1533-position model. The record is from RNAcentral.
CCUANGGGUGGCAGCAGUAACGAAUCUUCCGCAAUGCACGAAAGUGUGACGGAGCGACGCCGCGUGUGGGACGAAGUUCUUCGGAAUGUAAACCACUGUCAGGGGUUAGAAAGUUCUGAUCAACCCCAGAGGAAGGCACGGCUAACUCUGUGCCAGCAGCCGCGGUAAGACAGAGGUGCCAAGCGUUAGGCGGAAUCACUGGGCUUAAAGCGUGUGUAGGCGGACUUCUAAGUACCUUGUGAAAUCCCAUGGCUCAACCAUGGAACUGCUCGGUAUACUGGUUGUCUUGAGCCACUUAGGGGCUGUCGGAACAAAUGGUGGAGCGGUGAAAUGCGUAGAUAUCAUUUGGAACGCCAAAGGUGAAAACAGACAGCUGGGAGUGUGCUGACGCUGAGACACGAAAGCCAGGGGAGCGAACGGGAUUAGAUACCCGUNUANUC